Molecule: ribosomal RNA, 640 nt
Filed under: uncultured archaeon
Lineage: Archaea
Description: bacterial SSU rRNA
Rfam family: Archaeal small subunit ribosomal RNA
Source: RNAcentral
GCUAGUCGAGCGCUCUUUGGCCAUGAAGAGAGCGCGGCGCACAGCUCAGUAGCACGUGGCUAACCUGCCCUUGGGACGGGAACACCCCCGGGAAACUGGGGCUAAUUCCCGAUAGGUGAAGAACUCUGGAAUGAGUCUUCGCCCAAAAGACGCUUACGUCAUGCUCGUAGGCGCCGCCCAAGGAUGGGGCCGCGGCCGAUCAGGUUGUUGGUGAGGUAACGGCUCACCAAGCCUAUAACCGGUGCGGGCCGUGGGAGCGGGAGCCCGGAGAUGGGCACUGAGACAAGGGCCCAGGCCCUACGGGGCGCAGCAGUCGCGAAAACUUUGCAAUAAGCGAAAGCUUGACAGGGCUAUCCCGAGUGCCGUCCGCUGAGGAUGGCUUUUACCCAGUCUAGAAAGCUGGGGGAAUAAGGAGAGGGCAAGUCUGGUGUCAGCCGCCGCGGUAAUACCAGCUCUCCGAGUGGUGUGGACGUUUAUUGGGCCUAAAGCAUCUGUAGCUGGCUGUUCAAGUCCCCUGUUAAACCCAACGAUUUAAUCGUUGGUCUGCGGGGGAUACUGUUCGGCUAGGGGGCGGGAGAGGCAGACGGUAUUUCCGGGGUAGGGGUGAAAUCCUAUAAUCCCGGGAAGACCACCAGUGGCG